CAAAUGAAUUGACGGGGCCGCACAAGCGGCGGAGCAUGCGGAUUAAUUCGAUGCAACGCGAAGAACCUUACCAAGGCUUGACAUACACCGGUAACGCCCAGAGAUGGGUGCCCCUUUGUGGUCGGUGUACAGGUGGUGCAUGGUUGUCGUCAGCUCGUGUCGUGAGAUGUUGGGUUAAGUCCCGCAACGAGCGCAACCCUCGUCCUAUGUUGCCAGCGGGUCAUGCCGGGGACUCAUGGGAGACUGCCGGGGUCAACUCGGAGGAAGGUGGGGAUGACGUCAAGUCCUCAUGGCCCUUACAUCCCGGGCUACACACGUGCUACAAUGGGCGGUACAGAGGGAAGCAAAGCCGCGAGGUGGAGCUAAUCCUUAAAGCCGUCCUCAGUUCGGAUCGCAGGCUGCAACUCGCCUGCGUGAAGUCGGAAUCGCUAGUAAUCGCGGAUCAGCUACGCCGCGGUGAAUACGUUCCCGGGUCUU
This 477-nucleotide ribosomal RNA is filed under the name uncultured Curtobacterium sp. RNAcentral's name for it is "bacterial SSU rRNA". It matches the Rfam family "Bacterial small subunit ribosomal RNA", at positions 902 to 1382 of the family's 1533-position model. The record is from RNAcentral. Lineage: Bacteria; Bacillati; Actinomycetota; Actinomycetes; Micrococcales; Microbacteriaceae.